RNAcentral lists this unclassified non-coding RNA (539 nucleotides) under Gigantopelta aegis. Its description in RNAcentral is "5-hydroxytryptamine receptor-like, transcript variant X3". The record is from RNAcentral. Lineage: Eukaryota; Metazoa; Mollusca; Gastropoda; Neomphalida; Peltospiridae.
GCGGCUCGAGUUUGCGCAGAACGUGUCAACAAAUGUUCCCGGGAACCGAUGACACUGAUAUACAUGUACAUACUAUAAUUAUAAAUCGAUCGAUAACUUUACUGUGUGAUAUAACUGUCGAACUUUUCGUCAGUGUUUUCUAUCCAAGGUCGUGAUUCCUUAUUCAAAUGGGUUUGUGAUACAUCACGCUCCAGUGACGCUCGGUUGGAUAUAGGCUACGAUUUAGUGUGACUUUAACCCACAACUGACUGGGAAAGGUACGUGGUAGGCCUACUAGUGCAAUACUGUCCAGGUGUCCCGAGACUGUGUGACCUAGGAAUGUACCUGCACACAACUAAUACGGAAACCAGGUACGUGUAUGCUCAUGCCAUGACUUGUCGGUGUGAUCAUGACGAUAAGCCAUGGUCGUUUCACGGAUCACAGAGCUCGAGUAUGUAUUUUAGAUAACACAGGCUAAUGAAUCUGGGGGUUAAAUCUCUUAACAUUUAGGCUUAUUUAAUUUACCGUGGAUUAUGUACACACAUCCAUUAGGCCUAGAG